GCUAUAAUUGUCAGCUAAGUGGCGCACGGGUGAGUAAUGUAUAGAUAACCUGCCCUUAAGAAAGGAAUGACAGUUGGAAACGACUGCUAAUGCCCUAUAUGCCUUUAAUACAUAAGUAUGCAAGGGAAACGCUUUAGUGCUUAAGGAUGGGUCUGUAUGGUAUCAGCUUGUUGGUGAGGUAAUGGCUCACCAAGGCUAUGACGCCUAACUGGUUUGAGAGGAUGAUCAGUCACACUGGAACUGAGACACGGUCCAGACUCCUACGGGAGGCAGCAGUGGGGAAUAUUGCACAAUGGACGAAAGUCUGAUGCAGCAACGCCGCGUGGAGGAUGACACAUUUCGGUGCGUAAACUCCUUUUAUAUAGGAAGAUAAUGACGGUACUAUAUGAAUAAGCACCGGCUAACUCCGUGCCAGCAGCCGCGGUAAUACGGAGGGUGCAAGCGUUACUCGGAAUCACUGGGCGUAAAGAGCGUGUAGGCGGGUAUAUAAGUCAGAAGUGAAAUCCAAUAGCUCAACUAUUGAACUGCUUUUGAAACUGUAUACCUAGAAUGUGGGAGAGGUAGAUGGAAUUUCUGGUGUAGGGGUAAAAUCCGUAGAGAUCAGAAGGAAUACCGAUUGCGAAGGCGAUCUACUGGAACAUUAUUGACGCUGAGACGCGAAAGCGUGGGGAGCAAACAGGAUUAGAUACCCUGGUAGUCCACGCCCUAAACGAUGUACACUAGUUGUUGUGAGGCUCGACCUUGCAGUAAUGCAGUUAACACAUUAAGUGUACCGCCUGGGGAGUACGGUCGCAAGAUUA
RNAcentral lists this ribosomal RNA (800 nucleotides) under uncultured bacterium. RNAcentral's name for it is "bacterial SSU rRNA". It matches the Rfam family "Bacterial small subunit ribosomal RNA", at positions 77 to 896 of the family's 1533-position model. The record is from RNAcentral.